AUGGGAGCAAAAUGGGAAUCUCAAAGGACCCACGGCCAAAGCACCAAAUUUGUGACGGAACCGCGGCCCCUCCUUCCCACUGACCAUCAUAUUCAACGUGAAGUCGUGAAGACCAAACACUGCUGUAAUGUUUCAGAGUAUCAUUUGAUGAAAUUGUCUGAAUUUUCAACUGUCUACAGAGAGCCUUCUGGGUACCAGGUACUAAACUAAAUGUUCCAGAGACAGAGACCACCACCAGCACCUACGAAAGAUCUUGAGAUGCUGCAGUGGCUUCCUGAACAAUCACCGUGUACCCCAUCCUCAUCAGCACUCUGCAGUGGUGUGGGAACCCCACAGCACCCCGAUGCAAUAGCCAUCAUGGUUGUUCACCAUGGUGUACAGAGGUGGGGGACAGAAGGAGGAGAGACCUGAAGCCAGCUAAGUCUGGCUCCAGACUCCUGGCGCUUAACCAAUAAACAUACUGCCUCUCUUAAGAUUAAAAUAACU
This 486-nucleotide long non-coding RNA is filed under the name Vulpes vulpes (red fox). RNAcentral's name for it is "lncRNA (ENSVVUG00000006958.1)". The record is from RNAcentral. Lineage: Eukaryota; Metazoa; Chordata; Mammalia; Carnivora; Canidae.